GAUCCUGGCUCAGAAUCAACGCUGGCGGCGUGCCUAACACCAUGCAAGUCGAACGAGAAAGCUGGUAGCAAUACUGGUGAGUAGAGUGGCGACCGGGUGAGUAACACGUGGAUAACCUACCUCCGAGUGGGGAAUAACCCCGGGAAACUGGGGCUAAUACCGCAUGACAUCCCUGAGUCACAUCGGGGAUCCAAAGCCGGGGACCGCAAGGCCUGGCGUUUGGAGAUGAGCCCGCGUCCGAUUAGCUAGUUGGCGGGGUAAUGGCCCACCAAGGCUUCGAUCGGUAGCCGGCCUGAGAGGGCGGACGGCCACACUGGGACUGAGACACGGCCCAGACUCCUACGGGAGGCAGCAGUGGGGAAUUUUUCGCAAUGGGGGAAACCCUGACGAAGCAACGCCGCGUGGAGGAUGAAGGCCUUCGGGUCGUAAACUCCUGUCGACCGGGACGAAAGUAGUCCGACCCAACACGUCGGGCUAUCGACUGUACCGGUGGAGGAAGCCACGGCUAACUCUGUGCCAGCAGCCGCGGUAAUACAGAGGUGGCAAGCGUUGUUCGGAAUUACUGGGCGUAAAGGGCGCGUAGGCGGUCUUGUAAGUCCCGUGUGAAAGCCCCCGGCUCAACUGGGGAAUGGCACGGGAAACUGCGAGGCUUGAGUUCGGGAGAGGGAAGCGGAAUUCCGGGUGUAGCGGUGAAAUGCGUAGAUAUCCGGAGGAACACCGGUGGCGAAGGCGGCUUCCUGGACCGACACUGACGCUGAGGCGCGAAAGCUAGGGGAGCAAACGG
RNAcentral lists this ribosomal RNA (784 nucleotides) under uncultured Acidobacteriota bacterium. RNAcentral's name for it is "bacterial SSU rRNA". It matches the Rfam family "Bacterial small subunit ribosomal RNA", at positions 15 to 775 of the family's 1533-position model. The record is from RNAcentral. Lineage: Bacteria; Pseudomonadati; Acidobacteriota.